This 28-nucleotide non-coding RNA is filed under the name Mus musculus (house mouse). The record is from RNAcentral. Lineage: Eukaryota; Metazoa; Chordata; Mammalia; Rodentia; Muridae.
GGCCGUACUAGAGCUCAUUUUGCAGACC